RNAcentral lists this ribosomal RNA (497 nucleotides) under uncultured bacterium. RNAcentral's name for it is "partial 16S ribosomal RNA". It matches the Rfam family "Bacterial small subunit ribosomal RNA", at positions 28 to 507 of the family's 1533-position model. The record is from RNAcentral.
GAUGAACGCUGGCGGCGUGCCUAAUACAUGCAAGUCGAGCGAACAGACGAUGAGCUUGCUCCUCUGACGUUAGCGGCGGACGUGUGAGUAACACGUGGAUAACCUACCUAUAAGACUGGGAUAACUUCGGGAAACCGGAGCUAAUACCGGAUAAUAUAUUGAACCGCAUGGUUCAAUAGUGAAAGACGGUUUUGCUGUCUCUUAUAGAUGGAUCCGCGCCGCAUUAGCUAGUUGUUAAGGUAACGGCUUACCAAGGCAACGAUGCGUAGCCGACGUGAGAGGGUGAUCGGCCACACGGGAACUGAGACACGGACCAGACUCCUACGGGAGGCAGCAGUAGGGAAUAUUCCGCAAUGGGCGAAAGCAUGACGGAGCAACGCCGCGUGAGUGAUGAAGGUCUUCGGAUCGUAAAACUCUGUUAUUAGGGAAGAACAAAUGUGUAAGUAACUAUGCACGUCUUGACGGUAACUAAUCAGAAAGCCACGGCUAACUACGUG